ACUCAAAUGAAUUCUGUGAAUGCUUACAUCUAGAUUCUGGCAGGUUAAGUACGCAUACCAACAAAUAACUUUAAAACACAAUGCAAACAACAGGACAUGCUGGAAAUACCGGUGUAGCCUAUUCCAUGUAAACAGCGUCGUUUGUUGUAGUUUUUGUAAUUAAAGAUGAGUAAUCAGACUUAUUUAAAGUCCGCAUGCACACCCAUUUAAAAGGUCCCUGACACUGCAAUUAUAAUUAAAACUGAACUAAAUAAACGCCCUCAGAAGAACCUCCACCCAAAGAGGAACCACCUUUUUUUGUGUCCAUUCUUUCUAUUCGGAACAUUUCUCAGGUGACACAGGAAGUGACCGUAACCAAUACAUAAUUCACGUCGGUUACUAAGGAGGCGAAGUGUAAAUAAACAGAAGCGCGGCUGUGGUUAUGAGGAUGACAUUGAAAGCUUUUCUUGUGAUGUUUAAUCAGAAUUAUACGCAAAUAGGAUUUGUUUUUAGCAACGCGAUGAAUUACAAUUAACACGCGUUCAGAGCGAAUAAAUACCUCUUGCUUGAGUUCAGACCCGAAGCUAGCUAGCUAAGUGUCAUUUUAAUUGUAUUUCUUUUAUUUUUCAGAGGACAUGAAGGCUCAUAAACAGCAGGAACGCGACACCAAAGGACAAUUUCUUACACCCACGGUAAACAGCUACAAGAUGCAUUCAGCACCGGUGAAAUCCCUGCUCUCAGAGAAACUCAUACCCAGGCCUCUUGACAUACGGUUUCCGACAGACCUCACGAAAACCAACCUGGACGUUUUCAGAGCCAAUCCAUCGAGGCAAGACUGCAAGUUGGGCAUGUACGGUAAAACCCUGCGUACCCCAACGUUCGUGAAAGAGUUCACAGGGCCGGAGAUUGCUCUAACGCCCCCUCCAGUGACCGUCAAGAGGGGGAAAGCAAAGCGAGUCAACCACAACGCAGAGCUCACCUACACACACAGCAAGGCCCCUGUCCUCUUAAACACACUCGGUGAUCCAGUGGCACCGAGUGACAGAUCUGCUCCGGGUUUUCCCGUCUCCCUCUGCUGUAGGAAUGAUUAUCCUUUCAUCCUGGACAGACUUGACCUUGACCGUCGUGACUUGAUUGAAUGCCCGAACCUGGACGGGAUGAAUAAGCUCCGCGUCCUCAACCUGCAACACAACCGGCUCUCUCACCUCCCACACCUGGCUCACCUGCGACACCUUGUCUUCCUCAAUCUCUACGACAACCGUUUGAUCGACAUGUCGGCCGCAUCACCUCUCUGCUCCCUUCGCGUGCUCGUGCUCGGCAAGAACAGAAUUCAGAGGAUAUGUGGUCUGGACACCCUGACAAAUCUCGAUGUGCUGGACUUACAUGAAAACCAGAUCAGUAGGAUCGAGAACGUUUCUCACCUAGCAGAACUCAGAGUUCUGAACUUGGCAGGAAACUACAUCUCCAGGAUGGAGAACCUGCAGGGCCUGGAAUCAUUGAUCGAGCUCGACCUCAGACUCAACCACAUCUCCUCUGUAACGGAGGUGGACCGACUGCCCUGUCUCCAGCGUCUCUUCCUCAGCUCUAACAGCAUCAGCAGUUUUGAUGAGCUGGCCUGUCUGGGAGACUCGUGCUCUCUGAGUGAGCUCACCCUGGAUGGGAACCCUGUAGCUCAGGAGUCAUGCUACAAACAGACCGUGCUGCGCUGCGUGCUUCCACUCCGGCUGCUGGACAUGAAGCGCAUCACAGUAAGAGUGAAAGAGGAGGACAGACGCGUGGCAAAUCUUUUAGCGCGAAAGGAGGAUGAGAAGAAACGCGAGAGCCACAAACAAGCCGCUCACAAGGAGAAGCGGCGACUGGCCAUCCGUAAUGCAGCGCAGCAGUGGGAGGACUCCAGGAGCUUUCUCGAGCUUCCAGCACAGAACGGCGCCAAGGAAGAGCUGAGCCCAGAGAACAGCCCCGCCCACAGCCCAGGACAGACCAAUGGGAUCACUCAGGAGCCGUCACCCGAUGACCUCAGGCGAGAUAGAGGGAGUCCUCUCACUGUUCCUGAGCGUCCAGCAGGGGGCAAUGACGGUAAAGCGCGCUCUAGCAGCCGCCCCAACAGCCCCCGAGACCCCAGACUCCAGGAGGCAGGGGGCGCCAGCGUGCAGAGUCUGUCUCUGUCUGAGAGCCACGUGGCCGAGCUGGACGGCGAGACGGUGCGUCUGUUCGGUCCGGGGGCUCUGGAGACUCUAGAGAGAGGCUGGGGGGUGCAGACAGCCAGCACCGUCACUACCAUCGCCUUCCGCUAUAUCCAGUUCGACAGCAUCGUGCCCACUCUGCCACGCAUUCGCCUCAAAUUCCCCAACCUCACGCACCUGAUCUUUAUGGAGACUAAUAUAACACGGCUGCUGCAAUUAGCAGCUCUAGCGCAGGUAAAGAGGCUGGAGCAGGUGACCAUCGAUCCGGAAGGAAACCCCGUAGUGAGCCUGGCUCUGUGGCGAGCCUUCCUCAUCUACAGACUCAACCACCUGAACCUGCAGAGAAUCAACGGCACGGAGGUGACACUGAACGACGUCAUGGCGGCCGAGCGCCUUUUUGGGACCCUGGGUCACGUGGCUUCGACGGAAACGCCACACUGUCGACUGCUUCUGCUGCUGGAGGAGUCUAGGAUGGUACCUGCUUGGCAUCAGCAGGAGUUCCUCAUCCCGGCCAAACCCACCUCUGACUCCAUCUGUCAGCUCUGUUCAGUAAAGCUGCUUAUGGCACCAGACAGCACUGCAGCGCAAAAUUACCCAUUAGUUCCUCUGUAGCUUCACAGUGCUGUCACAUUUAAGCCGGCGCCUCACGAUAACAUCUCAGAAACCUAUCAGACCCAGUUUCCCGAAACCCGUUGGACCCAGAUGUCUGAAAUUCUCAGCCACACUGACGGUGUGGUGGCGAUAAAUCUUUUCAAAAGCAAUGGAUUAGUAAACGUAUUCCUUAAGGGUAUCUAUCAUCCGUACGGAGUAAAACGCAUGGAGUGUGCUGUUAUGGGGAAAAUAAUCAACGACCGAGUGGCGUGAUCCAGCCUGACGCCAUUACCAUCCUGAAGUUGAUUAUUUCCUAUAACAGCAUGUCCCUAAGUGUUUUAUUCCUCUUAUACCACAGCAAUUCUCCCAACCUAACAAUAUAUUAUUGAUUGAAGAAUGACAUUUUUAUCUGUUUAUAGUUACGUUGUGGGACGUCCAUGAAAAACAUCUGCGCUAAAAACGUCGUUCCCUCACCAGCCUCUUGGAGAUAAUAAGACAGAAGUAUGCAUCUUGGCAUGUUAUUAAGAAACCUUUACGUCUUUCAUAUGUGAGUGUUGGAGAACUGGAGACUCGUUCCUAAGCUCACAGAAAACGUCACCCCUUUCUGAUGAAUCGGAUUUGAGAGUACAGUAGCGCCGUGGUAUAAUGGUAUAACGGAAGUCUUGUGAUUAGCUUCUCGUAGAUUUUCCUUCCUGUGGCACCCCGUGAGGUGCCAAAAGGCUGUGUGUGUGUGUGUGUGUGUGUGUGUGUGUGUGUGUGUGUGUGAAUAUUUUAUAGCUGUAUAUGAGAGUGUGUACACACAUACUGUAUGGCAGUGUGAUGAUGGCAGGCCAGUGCUUGUUCAAGGCAGCUGCCAUUUUUAGCCCAUGAGAGAGGGAGAGAGAGAGAGAGAGAGAGAGAGAAAGCGAGAGAGAACCUAAGCAUCUCAGGCUCCAGGAAGAGGCAGCUGCAGUUCUUGCUGGAGGGCAGAGUUCGCAGGUUCGGUUUGAGCCCUGAAGAGCUGAGGGAGAACGGGAAGCUGUUGGGGGAGAGCAUGAGCCGCGCACUCUUUAACUACCACAGCAAGGAUUCCAGC
RNA transcript from Ictalurus furcatus (blue catfish), 3828 nucleotides. It is a transcript of the gene named leucine-rich repeat-containing protein 49, with no coding region annotated. NCBI's taxonomy places the organism in Eukaryota, Metazoa, Chordata, Actinopteri, Siluriformes, Ictaluridae. The transcript has 18 exons. The record is from RefSeq and is a predicted model, not a curated record.